RNAcentral lists this transfer RNA (76 nucleotides) under Clostridia bacterium. RNAcentral describes it as "tRNA-Thr". It matches the Rfam family "tRNA". Rfam says of the family: Transfer RNA (tRNA) molecules are approximately 80 nucleotides in length. Their secondary structure includes four short double-helical elements and three loops (D, anti-codon, and T loops). Further hydrogen bonds mediate the characteristic L-shaped molecular structure. tRNAs have two regions of fundamental functional importance: the anti-codon, which is responsible for specific mRNA codon recognition, and the 3' end, to which the tRNAs corresponding amino acid is attached (by aminoacyl-tRNA synthetases). tRNAs cope with the degeneracy of the genetic code in two manners: having more than one tRNA (with a specific anti-codon) for a particular amino acid; and 'wobble' base-pairing, i.e. permitting non-standard base-pairing at the 3rd anti-codon position. The record is from RNAcentral. Lineage: Bacteria; Bacillati; Bacillota; Clostridia.
GCUGGUGUAGCACAGUAGGUAGUGCAGCUGAUUCGUAAUCAGCAGGUCGCGUGUUCGAGUCACGUCACCAGCUCCA